GUAACAGUUCAGGAUUUCAGGCACUGCUGGUGGGAAAUAAUUGGCACAGCUGUCAUGAAGGAAGAAUUGGAAAUAACUGUUAAACAAUUUGCCCAGUCACUCCACUUCUAGAAAUAUAUUCUACACAAGUGCUUAUACAGAUAAAAUUGUUUCCCAACUGCUUCCUGUGGGAGUCUUGGAAGGAGUCCUUGGUUUGAGGUGGGGAAGAUGGAACCAGGAAGUGAGAUCGGGCAAUCACGGAAGGCCCCUCAGUCAGGUGAUGGAGCUCGACUCUGGGAGAAAACGAGGUGGAUUCUUUACCAGCUGAGCCACAAGGGUAGCCUACUCCAGCAGAUCCCUUCUCUAGCAAAUCUUCCCAACCUGGGAAUUGAACUGGUCUCUCCUGCAUUGCAGGCAGAUUCUUUACCAGCUGACCUACCAGGGAAGCCCUUGUAUGCUGCUGCUGCUGCUGCUAAGUCGCUUUAGUCGUGACUGACUCUGUGCGACCCCAUAGACAGCAGCCCACCAGGCUCCGCCAUCCCUGGGAUUCUCCAGGCAAGAGUACUGGAGUGGGGUGCCAUUGCCUUCUCCAAGCCCUUGUAUGAAUGACACCAAAAGAUUAGAAAUAAGUGCAAGUCGUGAAAAGUGAAAGUGUUAGUCGCUCAGUCAUGCCCAUGUCUUUGUGACCCCAUGGAUUGUAGCCCACCUAGCCCCUCUGUCCAUGGAAUUCUCCAGGCAAGAAUCCCGGAAUGGGUUGCCAUUCUCUUCUCCAGGGGAUCUUCCCAACCCAGGGAUCGAACCCGGGUCUCCUGAAUUGCAGGCAGAUUCUUUACCAUCUGAGCCACCAGGGAAGCUUUGGAAGGAGAGGAAAAAAGAAAUCAAGAGAAAGUGAAAGUUGGGGAGGCCCAAGAAAAGAUCUGGAGUGGGGAUUGGGGUGGGGCGGUCCCCACAGCUCAGGGGUGACAUAGAGUAGGUUGGGAACCAUGAUCACCUGGAAUUGAGGGUGUAACUCCACGGACGGACACUUUCAGCCUCCUGUCUUGGCUCUCCCUUGGCCUGACGUUCCCCCUGUCCUUGCAUGAGUGAGUCCCAACAUUUUGUCAAGAUUGAAUUCAGAUGCCUGCUUCUCCAGGAAGCCUACCCUCCUCCCAGCCCUGAGGCUUCUGGCCUGACCCUAAGGGCCUGUGCACCCAGCGUUAGUGAGCAUGUCAGGGCUGAUGGUGUUAGGGCCCAUGCCUACUGUGUCACCAGGCCCAGGCCCAGCUGGCUGGCGAAUGUGCUGAGAAUGUAAGUUGGGUGUGUGCCAGGCUGCCUGGGUUCAAACCUCAGUGCAGUGACUACUGAUGGUGUGUGGAUGACUGUUAUGAGCGGGUGAGUGCAGGCAGGAUGGGACAGCCUAGUGAGGCAAAGGGAUGAAGGGAUUGCACUGUCUCCAGGUGGCCUGGCUCCACAUGGGCAGAAAUGAGUGCAGCUUGAGCCACCUGUUUGACUGUCAGUUGCUUGAGCCAGGGAAUGCCUGGUUCCCAGUAACACCAUUUCAGCACUGGCCUGGGAACCUGUCAGCUUCUGCCACCACCCUCGCCCUCCCCUAGCAUCACUUCUCUGGGGAAAGUGGCCCAGGUCAGAUGAGGGUGAGACACCCCCAUCCCCCUCUGCUCUACAUGCUCGCAUCUUCCUUCCCAGGUUUGUUGGCCGCCUACCCCCCUGCACCCCUACUGCCAUUGUUCCAGGUUCCAGGUAGAGCCCUUUUGACUCCACCUUCCCUGGUGGCUCAGACGGUAAAGAAUCUGCCUGCAACACAGGAGACUGGUGUUCAAUCCCUGGGUUGGGAAGAUCCCCGGAAAAAG
This is a long non-coding RNA of Bos taurus (domestic cattle), 1826 nucleotides long. NCBI's taxonomy places the organism in Eukaryota, Metazoa, Chordata, Mammalia, Artiodactyla, Bovidae. The record is from Ensembl.